GAUGAACGCUGGCGGCGUGCCUAAUACAUGCAAGUCGAGCGAACAGACGAGGAGCUUGCUCCUCUGACGUUAGCGGCGGACGGGUGAGUAACACGUGGAUAACCUACCUAUAAGACUGGGAUAACUUCGGGAAACCGGAGCUAAUACCGGAUAAUAUAUUGAACCGCAUGGUUCAAUAGUGAAAGACGGUUUUGCUGUCACUUAUAGAUGGAUCCGCGCCGCAUUAGCGAGUUGGUAAGGUAACGGCUUACCAAGGCAACGAUGCGUAGCCGACCUGAGAGGGGUAUCGGGCACACGGGGACUGACACACAGACCAGGCUCGUGCGGGGGGCAGGAGUAGGGAAUGUGCCGCAAGGGGCGAAAGCCGGACGGAGCGACGCCGCGUGAGGGAUGAAGGUCGUCGGAUCGUAAAACUCUUUUAUUUGGGAAGAACAAAUGUGUAAGUAACUAUGCACGUCUAGACGGUACCUAAUCAGAAAGCCGCGGCUAACUACG
This 495-nucleotide ribosomal RNA is filed under the name uncultured bacterium. Its description in RNAcentral is "partial 16S ribosomal RNA". It matches the Rfam family "Bacterial small subunit ribosomal RNA", at positions 28 to 505 of the family's 1533-position model. The record is from RNAcentral.